GGGCGGUUAGCUCAGCGGUAGAGCAUCGGUCUUACACACCGAGGGUCGCAGGUUCGAUCCCUGCACCGCCCACCA
RNAcentral lists this transfer RNA (75 nucleotides) under Candidatus Aminicenantes bacterium RBG_13_59_9. RNAcentral's name for it is "tRNA-Val". It matches the Rfam family "tRNA". Rfam says of the family: Transfer RNA (tRNA) molecules are approximately 80 nucleotides in length. Their secondary structure includes four short double-helical elements and three loops (D, anti-codon, and T loops). The record is from RNAcentral. Lineage: Bacteria; Candidatus Aminicenantota.